GAAAAUUAUGGGUUCUUCAUAUAAGUGUUUAUACAUAUAAUAUAAAGAAAUAUGAUUAAAUCAGCUAUGCAAAAAUAACUUUCGUACCUCGCGCUGCGAUACUGCCUCUGGAAGAGCCGUAACAAGUGUCAAGCGAAAGGAAUUCACGAAAGUUUCUAAUUUUUAUUCAAUCAUUUUUGUGCUUAUCGUACCAGCAAUAUCUGAUAAUGGAUUGAAGAUAAGACUACAACUAAGCUACAAAGGGGCCAUGAUAUCCUGAAAUGGUUUACUCUUUCAAUUCAGUCUCCACCUGUCCCAAGAAUAAACUCAAGCGGAAUCCCGUUAGCUGCCACUAGCCCGAGGCCGGUGGGUACCUGGCCGAGUCAUCAAAGUGUGAGCGAAUGUUUGACAAUCAGCAGAGGGAAAUUCAUCAGUCAACCAAUGAUGGUGACUUGUUGCUCAUUGCCAAGGUCUAUGACGGUCCACAAAGAUGAGUGAUCAUUGCGUUGCUAUCAUGAUUCAUCAGCUAGACAAAUUUUCUCAUGAGCCCCACGUUGAUACGUAAAUGACUAUGCUAAUUGAGAAACCGAAUUACUUCUCUUUGUUUUUGUAUGAAAUAUUUUUUUUAGACUGAUGUUUGAUAAAUAAAUAGCAUACAUUUUUUUAUUCACUACACAGUUUCGACAGG
This 667-nucleotide unclassified non-coding RNA is filed under the name Athalia rosae (coleseed sawfly). RNAcentral's name for it is "misc RNA ENSAEAG00005009688.1". Lineage: Eukaryota; Metazoa; Arthropoda; Insecta; Hymenoptera; Athaliidae. The record is from RNAcentral.